UAAGAAAACCGCAUGUGGAAACAA
Molecule: microRNA, 24 nt
Filed under: Zea mays
Lineage: Eukaryota; Viridiplantae; Streptophyta; Magnoliopsida; Poales; Poaceae
Description: microRNA miR-3040b
Source: RNAcentral